CAGCAGCCGCGGUAAUACGGAGGGUGCAAGCGUUAAUCGGAAUUACUGGGCGUAAAGCGUGCGUAGGCGGUCCGUUAAGUCUGUUGUGAAAGCCCCGGGCUCAACCUGGGAAUGGCAAUGGAUACUGGCGAGCUAGAGUGUGUCAGAGGAUGGUGGAAUUCCCGGUGUAGCGGUGAAAUGCGUAGAGAUCGGGAGGAACAUCAGUGGCGAAGGCGGCCAUCUGGGACAACACUGACGCUGAGGCACGAAAGCGUGGGGAGCAAACAGGAUUAGAUACCCGCGUAGUCCCUGUCUCUUAUAA
RNAcentral lists this ribosomal RNA (301 nucleotides) under uncultured bacterium. Its description in RNAcentral is "partial 16S ribosomal RNA". It matches the Rfam family "Bacterial small subunit ribosomal RNA", at positions 509 to 809 of the family's 1533-position model. The record is from RNAcentral.